RNAcentral lists this ribosomal RNA (460 nucleotides) under uncultured bacterium. RNAcentral's name for it is "partial 16S ribosomal RNA". It matches the Rfam family "Bacterial small subunit ribosomal RNA", at positions 338 to 795 of the family's 1533-position model. The record is from RNAcentral.
CCUACGGGAGGCAGCAGUGAGGAAUAUUGGUCAAUGGACGAGAGUCUGAACCAGCCAAGUAGCGUGAAGGAUGACUGCCCUAUGGGUUGUAAACUUCUUUUAUAUGGGAAUAAAAUGUUCCACGUGUGGGAUUUUGUAUGUACCAUAUGAAUAAGGAUCGGCUAACUCCGUGCCAGCAGCCGCGGUAAUACGGAGGAUCCGAGCGUUAUCCGGAUUUAUUGGGUUUAAAGGGAGCGUAGGUGGAUUGUUAAGGCAGUUGUGAAAGUUUGCGGCUCAACCGUAAAAUUGCAGUUGAAACUGGCAGUCUUGAGUACAGUAGAGGUGGGCGGAAUUCGUGGUGUAGCGGUGAAAUGCUUAGAUAUCACGAAGAACUCCGAUUGCGAAGGCAGCUCACUGGACUGCAACUGACACUGAGGCUCGAAAGUGUGGGUAUCGAACAGGAUUAGAUACCCCAGUAGUC